UUUCCGUAGGUGAACCUGCGGAAGGAUCAUUCAUAAUAAAGUGUUUUACGGCACUUUUUAAAAAUCCAUAUCCACCUUGUGUGCAAUGUUAGAUCUCGUCAAUCUUGGCGAGAUUUUUAUACAUCAACUCAUUCUUUAACUAAUUUGUCUGAAAAAUAUUAUGAAUACUUAAUUCAAAAUACAACUUUCAACAACGGAUCUCUUGGCUCUC
RNAcentral lists this unclassified non-coding RNA (211 nucleotides) under plant metagenome. RNAcentral's name for it is "partial contains small subunit ribosomal RNA, internal transcribed spacer 1, and 5.8S ribosomal RNA". The record is from RNAcentral.